UAUCACUUCCAGCGUGUAGAAAUAAUGUAGGACUACAACUAUAAAGCUUCAUAACAUAUUAACAUCAAAACAUGAGCAAGAUCUUUCCGGUCAAACAUGAACACGGAAGUUGCUAAAAAAAAUUCUGGGUUCGUGUUCUUGAGCAGUUUCGGUCAAUGGGUUUUGACCAUGAAUAACUCCCGAUCUAUAACAGAUAUUAACUUGAUU
Molecule: long non-coding RNA, 207 nt
Filed under: Panax ginseng (ginseng)
Lineage: Eukaryota; Viridiplantae; Streptophyta; Magnoliopsida; Apiales; Araliaceae
Description: long non-coding RNA (PGIN_LNC000232)
Source: RNAcentral